GACGCAUUUGUUUCUCAAUCUUGGUCGUGUGAACCCUUCUCAACCACUCAAUCUCUAAUUCUUAUCCGUUUCUCCCUUUCUUCCCCCUUCACCUCCUGUGGAACUCCUCUCCUCCACAGACGAGACAAAUUCCAAACCCUAAUCAGCAGACGAGAAGAAAACAAAAUCAAUUAGCAGAUCGAAAACCCAGAAAUCAAAAUCAAUUAACAGAUCGAAAAAUCAAAAUCAAUUAACAGAUCGAAAAAUCAACAACAUACAAAAACAAAUGACGUCGAGGCUCCAAUGACGAGACCAAUUCCAAACCCUAAUCAGCAAACCCAGAAAACAAAAUAAUUAGUAGAUCGAAAAAUCGACAACAUACAAAAACAAUGUCAAUGGAGAUAGCAUCCUUUACCCCUUUCUUUCAGUAGCUUUUCAAAAUCAAGUAAAUUCGUUAACCCUAAUGAUGACAGGGUAUAUAUUGUCUAAAUCUGGAUGAAGAAGAAGAAGAAGAACUCAGGGAGGACAUGGAAUGGUUGAUGAAGAACUCAGGGAGGAGAUGGAAAUCCAAAUGAGCGUUUCUGCGCUUCAACUGAAAACAGAGAUGGGUUCGAUUGAUUGCCUCAGAUGGAUAAUAGUAGACAUGAGCAGAUUUAUGAAGAAUUAUCGAUGGUUUGUUUUUGAGCUUAGAGAUGAAAUUUAGGGUUUAAUUACUGAGAAUCGAGAGAUGAUUGAGAAGAAUUAGGUGAUGGGUUUCUGUGGUUGUUCUUCAAGGGUGAGAACUGGUGUUGUUUUGAUGGGGUUGAUAAAGAACUGAAAGUGCUUAGAAAGAGAGACGGCUGCGAAAUAAAGUUGGAGAUGCAGAAAUUCACUCAAUAAAAUCAAGGGGAAGCCGUUGCUGAAGAACUAGAUAUCAUCUGUUAAUUGAAUAUGAGAAGAGAUGCUUAGAUUUUUCCUAGAGGAAGCCCCAAAUAAGUUAUGGGUAAAUUCUCCACUUUACAACCAAGAAAAUGCGCAAGGUUAUCAAUAUCAGGGACGUGCCCAACAUGAAUCAUAGUCGUUUUGUGAAAGUUUACCUUAAAACCUGAAACGAUCUCAAACCAUAAAAGAUUAUCAGGGACGAAGUAAAAAUAGUUAGUGCAUCCUCUUCGCCUUUGUUGUUGAUGAAAGGGGUCUUUCAAAAAAUUUCUCUGGAGCAAGUCAGUUGGAAGGAGGUGAUUUUCGAACCACCUUAAGUUGUCCACUGUGGGUUGUCCUUCGUAUUUGUUUCAGGUGUGCUCCCUUUGUUUUGGAGUUUUUCUUUGUGUUGAUAGCUUUUUGGAGUUUUUCUUUGGAUUGGUAGCUUUUCUGGCUUCUUUUUUUUUUUUUGGUCGUGAGCGUCAGGGAUCAUAAAAUGUUUAAUUUACCGAUCAAAAAAAAAGACAAAAAAAAGAUGGAGUAUAAACUUUCAUUAACAAUUUGCUCGUUGCAAUUCAAAACCAUGGAAACUAUCACAUAUUUUAUUCUCGCGGAGUCGUAAG
Papaver somniferum (opium poppy) is the source of this 1499-nucleotide long non-coding RNA. RefSeq lists it as uncharacterized. NCBI's taxonomy places the organism in Eukaryota, Viridiplantae, Streptophyta, Magnoliopsida, Ranunculales, Papaveraceae. The record is from RefSeq and is a predicted model, not a curated record. The transcript is spliced from 2 exons.